UUUAUCGAUGAUGACUCCAUAGACCUGUACUGAAUGCGGAGAUGACCGCACCAUAUACAUCUAAGGGACUGAGAUAAC
Macadamia integrifolia is the source of this 78-nucleotide small nucleolar RNA. RefSeq annotates it as small nucleolar RNA SNORD25. The record is from RefSeq and is a predicted model, not a curated record. The transcript has a single exon. NCBI's taxonomy places the organism in Eukaryota, Viridiplantae, Streptophyta, Magnoliopsida, Proteales, Proteaceae.